RNAcentral lists this ribosomal RNA (446 nucleotides) under uncultured bacterium. RNAcentral describes it as "partial 16S ribosomal RNA". It matches the Rfam family "Bacterial small subunit ribosomal RNA", at positions 338 to 795 of the family's 1533-position model. The record is from RNAcentral.
CCUACGGGAGGCUGCAGUCGAGAAUCAUUCACAAUGGGGGAAACCCUGAUGGUGCGACGCCGCGUGGGGGAAUGAAGGUCUUCGGAUUGUAAACCCCUGUCAUGUGGGAGCAAAUUAAAAAGAUAGUACCACAAGAGGAAGAGACGGCUAACUCUGUGCCAGCAGCCGCGGUAAUACAGAGGUCUCAAGCGUUGUUCGGAAUCACUGGGCGUAAGGCGUGCGUAGGCUGUUUCGUAAGUCGUGUGUGAAAGGCGCGGGCUCAACCCGCGGACGGCACCUGAUACUGCGAGACUAGAGUAAUGGAGGGGGAACCGGAAUUCUCGGUGUAGCAGUGAAAUGCGUAGAUAUCGAGAGGAACACUCGUGGCGAAGGCGGGUUCCUGGACAUUAACUGACGCUGAGGCACGAAGGCCAGGGGAGCGAAAGGGAUUAGAUACCCUAGUAGUC